GAUGGAACGCAGCGAAAUGCGAUACGUAAUGUGAAUUGCAGAAUUCAGUGAAUCAUCGAGUCUUUGAACGCACAUUGCGCCCCCUGGUAUUCCGGGGGGCAUGCCUGUCCGAGCGUCAUUGCUGCCCUCAAGCACGGCUUGUGUGUUGGGCCCCCGCCCCCCGGUUCCCGGGGGGCGGGCCCGAAAGGCAGCGGCGGCACCGCGUCCGGUCCUCGAGCGUAUGGGGCUUCGUCACCCGCUCCGUAGGCCCGGCCGGCGCCCGCCGGCGACCCCCCCUCAAUCUUUCCAGGUUGACCUCGGAUCAGGUAGGGAUCCCCGCUGAACUUAAGCAUAUCAAUAAGCGGAGG
This 347-nucleotide unclassified non-coding RNA is filed under the name soil metagenome. Its description in RNAcentral is "partial contains 5.8S ribosomal RNA, internal transcribed spacer 2, and large subunit ribosomal RNA". The stretch from base 4 to 118 matches the Rfam family "5.8S ribosomal RNA", at positions 40 to 154 of the family's 154-position model. The record is from RNAcentral.